GACGAACGCUGGCGGCGUGCCUAACACAUGCAAGUCAACGAGAAAAGGGUAGCAAUAUCCUGAGUAAAGUGGCGCACGGGUGAGUAACACGUAGGUAAUCUGCCAUUAGGACGGGGACAACCACGCGAAAGCGUGGCUAAUACCCGAUGAAUCAGCGGCGCCGCAUGGCGUUGUUGUUAAAUACCGCAAGGUGCCUGGUGAUGAACCUGCGUCCCAUUAGGUAGUUGGUGAGGUAACGGCUCACCAAGCCGACGAUGGGUAGCUGGUCUGAGAGGAUGAUCAGCCACACUGGAACUGAGACACGGUCCAGACUCCUACGGGAGGCAGCAGUGAGGAAUAUUGCGCAAUGGCCGAAAGGCUGACGCAGCGACGCCGCGUGAAGGAUGAAGUCCGUUAGGAUGUAAACUUCUUUUGC
RNAcentral lists this ribosomal RNA (415 nucleotides) under uncultured bacterium. Its description in RNAcentral is "bacterial SSU rRNA". It matches the Rfam family "Bacterial small subunit ribosomal RNA", at positions 28 to 439 of the family's 1533-position model. The record is from RNAcentral.